RNAcentral lists this ribosomal RNA (248 nucleotides) under uncultured bacterium. RNAcentral describes it as "partial 16S ribosomal RNA". It matches the Rfam family "Bacterial small subunit ribosomal RNA", at positions 15 to 263 of the family's 1533-position model. The record is from RNAcentral.
GAUCAUGGCUCAGGAUGAACGCUGGCGGCGUGCUUAACACAUGCAAGUCGAACGGAAAGGCCCAAGCUUGCUUGGGUACUCGAGUGGCGAACGGGUGAGUAACACGUGGGUGAUCUGCCCUGCACUUUGGGAUAAGCCUGGGAAACUGGGUCUAAUACCAGAUAGGACCCUUACUUGGAUGUUUGGGUGGAAAGUUUUUUCGGUGUGGGAUGAGCUCGCGGCCUAUCAGCUUGUUGGUGGGGUAAUGG